AGAGAUCAAAUUAUGUAUAUUAAGGUAAAAAGGCAGUUAGAUAUAAAAUAUAAGUGUUGGUUUACUAAUUUUUUAUAAAAAGGUAAAAUUUAAAUAUAAACAAAUAACUUAAUGUAAGUCAAUUAAAAAUUGAAUCUGCGACAGCCUUGAGGGAAACUGGGAUUAGAUACCCCAUUAUUCUUGGCUAUAAAUGGAUAUAAAUUUACCAGAGUACUAUGAAUCAAUUCAAUAAAAUUUAAAACUCAAAGGGCUUGGCGGUGUUUUAGACCUCUCAGGGGAACCUGUCUCAUAAUCGACAAUCCACGUUAGACCUAACCUUUGUUUGCAAUUCAGUUUGUAUACCGUCGUCGUCAGGUAACUUUUAAAAAAUAAGAAGUUGGCAAAAGAAUUAUUUAAACUUAAACGUCAGAUCAAGGUGCAGCCUAUACAAAGGUGAGGAUGGGUUACAAUUAAAAUUUAUAAUUACGAAUAGGAUAAUGAAGCAUUUUUCUAAUGAAGGAGGACUUGAAAGUAAAAUAAAUUAUAUAGGCAAUUUGAAUAAGGCUCUGAAACGUGC
Molecule: ribosomal RNA, 556 nt
Filed under: Bursa sp. MNHN-IM-2007-43036
Lineage: Eukaryota; Metazoa; Mollusca; Gastropoda; Littorinimorpha; Bursidae
Description: partial 12S ribosomal RNA
Source: RNAcentral